This 250-nucleotide ribosomal RNA is filed under the name uncultured bacterium. RNAcentral describes it as "partial 16S ribosomal RNA". It matches the Rfam family "Bacterial small subunit ribosomal RNA", at positions 62 to 339 of the family's 1533-position model. The record is from RNAcentral.
UCGAACGAGAGUUUUUAACUCAAGUGGCGGACGGGUGAGUAACACGUGAGAAUCUACCCUUAGGAGGGGGACAACAGUUGGAAACGACUGCUAAUACCCCAUAUGCUUUCGAGUAAAAUGAUUUUUCGCCUAAGGAAGAGCUCGCGGCUGAUUAGCUAGUUGGUAAGGUAAAGGCUUACCAAGGCGACGACGGGUAGCCGGCCUGAGAGGGUGACCGGCCACACUGGGACUGAGACACGGCCCAGACUCC